This 1370-nucleotide ribosomal RNA is filed under the name uncultured bacterium. RNAcentral's name for it is "bacterial SSU rRNA". It matches the Rfam family "Bacterial small subunit ribosomal RNA". The record is from RNAcentral.
AGAGUUUGAUCCUGGCUCAGAACGAACGCUGGCGGCGUGGAUAAGACAUGCAAGUCGAACGAGAGAAUUGCUAGCUUGCUAAUAAUUCUCUAGUGGCGCACGGGUGAGUAACACGUGAGUAACCUGCCCCCGAGAGCGGGAUAGCCCUGGGAAACUGGGAUUAAUACCGCAUAGUAUCGAAAGAUUAAAGCAGCAAUGCGCUUGGGGAUGGGCUCGCGGCCUAUUAGUUAGUUGGUGAGGUAACGGCUCACCAAGGCGAUGACGGGUAGCCGGUCUGAGAGGAUGUCCGGCCACACUGGAACUGAGACACGGUCCAGACACCUACGGGUGGCAGCAGUCGAGAAUCAUUCACAAUGGGGGAAACCCUGAUGGUGCGACGCCGCGUGGGGGAAUGAAGGUCUUCGGAUUGUAAACCCCUGUCAUGUGGGAGCAAAUUAAAAAGAUAGUACCACAAGAGGAAGAGACGGCUAACUCUGUGCCAGCAGCCGCGGUAAUACAGAGGUCUCAAGCGUUGUUCGGAAUCACUGGGCGUAAAGCGUGCGUAGGCUGUUUCGUAAGUCGUGUGUGAAAGGCGCGGGCUCAACCCGCGGACGGCACAUGAUACUGCGAGACUAGAGUAAUGGAGGGGGAACCGGAAUUCUCGGUGUAGCAGUUAAAUGCGUAGAUAUCGAGAGGAACACUCGUGGCGAAGGCGGGUUCCUGGACAUUAACUGACGCUGAGGCACGAAGGCCAGGGGAGCGAAAGGGAUUAGAUACCCCUGUAGUCCUGGCAGUAAACGGUGCACGCUUGGUGUGCGGGGAAUCGACCCCCUGCGUGCCGGAGCUAACGCGUUAAGCGUGCCGCCUGGGGAGUACGGUCGCAAGAUUAAAACUCAAAGAAAUUGACGGGGACCCGCACAAGCGGUGGAGUAUGUGGCUUAAUUCGAUGCAACGCGAAGAACCUUACCUGGGCUUGACAUGUAAUGAACAACAUGUGAAAGCAUGCGACUCUUCGGAGGCGUUACACAGGUGCUGCAUGGCCGUCGUCAGCUCGUGUCGUGAGAUGUUUGGUUAAGUCCAGCAACGAGCGCAACCCCUGUUGCCAGUUACCAGCACGUGAAGGUGGGGACUCUGGCGAGACUGCCCAGAUCAACUGGGAGGAAGGUGGGGACGACGUCAGGUCAGUAUGGCCCUUAUGCCCAGGGCUGCACACGUACUACAAUGCCCAGUACAGAGGGGGCCGAAGCCGCGAGGCGGAGGAAAUCCUAAAAACUGGGCCCAGUUCGGACUGUAGGCUGCAACCCGCCUACACGAAGCCGGAAUCGCUAGUAAUGGCGCAUCAGCUACGGCGCCGUGAAUACGUUCCCGGGUCUUGCACUCACCGCCCGUCA